This 300-nucleotide ribosomal RNA is filed under the name uncultured archaeon. Its description in RNAcentral is "bacterial SSU rRNA". The stretch from base 52 to 300 matches the Rfam family "Bacterial small subunit ribosomal RNA", at positions 547 to 795 of the family's 1533-position model. The record is from RNAcentral.
GGGAAUGCCGUGGAAGGAGCCGAGGGAAUGGGUAGGGGGAAAGGGUGGUACGGAUUUAUUGGGCGGAAAGGGCGUGGAGGCGGCCAGAUAGGGCGGUUGUGAAAACUCGAGGCUCAACCUCGAGACGCCGAUGGAAACCAUCUGGCUAGAGUGCGGAAGAGGAGAGUGGAAUUCCGGGUGUAGCGGUGAAAUGCGCAGAUAGCAGGAAGAACACCCGUGGCUAAGGCGGCUCUCUAGUACGGUACUGACGCUGAGACGCGAAAGCGUGGGGAGCGAACAGGAUUAGAUACCCGAGUAGUC